AGUAGCAUGGCGCAGUGGUAGCGCGUGAGGCCCAUAACCUCGAGGUCAUUCGAUCGAAACGAGUCACUGCUA
Molecule: transfer RNA, 72 nt
Filed under: Leucoagaricus sp. SymC.cos
Lineage: Eukaryota; Fungi; Basidiomycota; Agaricomycetes; Agaricales; Agaricaceae
Rfam family: tRNA
About the family: Transfer RNA (tRNA) molecules are approximately 80 nucleotides in length. Their secondary structure includes four short double-helical elements and three loops (D, anti-codon, and T loops).
Source: Rfam by way of RNAcentral